Girardinichthys multiradiatus is the source of this 1208-nucleotide long non-coding RNA. RefSeq lists it as uncharacterized. The transcript is spliced from 3 exons. The record is from RefSeq and is a predicted model, not a curated record. NCBI's taxonomy places the organism in Eukaryota, Metazoa, Chordata, Actinopteri, Cyprinodontiformes, Goodeidae.
GUUACUGGUAUAAUUGAUAUUUGGAUUCUCAUUGUCUAAAAUUAAAUUAGACUAACCUCUUUCAAGGCAAUUAGGAUUACCAAAAAUAUUUGACAUAUGCUAAAAUGUCCUGACAGAACCAGUUCAUGAGUCCGGUUUGUAGGCCGCCUUGCUCACACACACAUUUUCAGUUCUGCUCACAAAUGUUCUCUGGGACUGAGUUAUAUGUUUCUUGAUGACCACUCUAAAACAUUGUCUUUGUUGUCUUUAACAGCUGCAACAAAUUGCUGCACAUGUUAAACCAAGAACCAUUUAAAACACAAAACAAGAAGAACAAUAACAACAAACAGCUCUUAGCAGUAUGUUUAGUGUCAUUGUCCACUUAGAAGACCAAUUUUUGCCCAAGCUUUAACUUUACGGCUGAUGUCUUGAGAUGUUGCUUCGAUAUUUGCACAACAUGUUCUGUCCUCAUUUUGUGAAGUGGACCAGUCCUUUCUGCAGCCGAACACCCUCACAACAUGAUGCUGCCGCACCCAGUUUGGAUGAUCCCAGGCUUGUGAGAUUUCCCCUAUUGUCCUCCAAAUGUGCUGAUGGCCACUACGUACAAACACCACAGGACUUUUCUUUAAAAAUACAACUGUUUUGUCUCUCUAUGCAUUUUCAAACUGUAAUCUAACUUUGCCACCUUUACAUUUGUAGUAAUGGCUUUCCCUUCCUGUUGGUGAAGAAGUGAGGCAUGUUUUGCUGGCUUGGAGUAGGAACAAAAUAUAGACACGAACUUGGAAUGAGCAUGGUGAAGGUUAUAAUAAAACAGAAACCGAGGACAACAGGACAUGGAGCUCAGGCAGAGCAACAAGAAGAACCAGUAAUGAGCAAUGAAAGCCAUGGAGCUUGUAUACUGAGGGAAGAGUGGAGAAGGUAAUCUGAGUCAGAAACUUUCUGGUGUUUGCAGCAGUGCUGCCUUCCUUUAAACACCCAGAGAGGUGACGUGAUAAUAAAUCUCAGUGCUGUAAGGCUGCUCAGAGAGUUCCAGUCCAUUAGCAGGUCCAGCCAGAAAAUGCUACACUUUGUGACGAAGCGUGAAGACAAAAUUGCAUGUUUGAAAAUGGGGGAUCAUACCAAAGUGUCCGGACCUAGAACUACAACCGCUAUCCCUGCUGAACCCCAACUCAUGAUAGGCGGAGGUGCAGGGAGAUGAUGCUGAAAGUUCAUUAAUAAAACUUAGUAAC